AGCACUUGCGUGUGUUAUUGUUCAACUUAUGGACAAAGACUUGUAGACAACUGCAACCCAGAACUCAUUGUUCAGUAUGAGUUUUGAUACUUAUAAGCAGGAAUACU
This is a non-coding RNA of Ictidomys tridecemlineatus (thirteen-lined ground squirrel), 107 nucleotides long. NCBI's taxonomy places the organism in Eukaryota, Metazoa, Chordata, Mammalia, Rodentia, Sciuridae. The record is from Rfam.